CGCGGAGUGGAGCAGUUGGCAGCUCGUCGGGCUCAUAACCCGAAGGUCGCAGGUUCAAGUCCUGCCUCCGCAACCA
RNAcentral lists this transfer RNA (76 nucleotides) under Bacillota bacterium. RNAcentral's name for it is "Firmicutes bacterium (gut metagenome) tRNA-Met". It matches the Rfam family "tRNA". From Rfam's summary of the family: Transfer RNA (tRNA) molecules are approximately 80 nucleotides in length. Their secondary structure includes four short double-helical elements and three loops (D, anti-codon, and T loops). Lineage: Bacteria; Bacillati; Bacillota. RNAcentral also lists the same sequence under 1 other name. The record is from RNAcentral.